This 301-nucleotide ribosomal RNA is filed under the name uncultured bacterium. RNAcentral describes it as "partial 16S ribosomal RNA". It matches the Rfam family "Bacterial small subunit ribosomal RNA", at positions 509 to 807 of the family's 1533-position model. The record is from RNAcentral.
CAGUAGCCGCGGUAAUACAGAGGGUGCAAGCGUUAAUCGGAAUUACUGGGCGUAAAGCGCGCGUAGGUGGUUUGUUAAGUUGAAUGUGAAAUCCCCGGGCUCAACCUGGGAACUGCAUCCAAAACUGGCAAGCUAGAGUAGGGCAGAGGGUGGUGGAAUUUCCUGUGUAGCGGUGAAAUGCGUAGAUAUAGGAAGGAAUACCAGUGGCGAAGGCGACCACCUGGGCUCAUACUGACACUGAGGUGCGAAAGCGUGGGGAGCAAACAGGAUUAGAUACCCGGGUAGUCCCUGUCUCUUAUAC